Molecule: transfer RNA, 83 nt
Filed under: Clostridia bacterium
Lineage: Bacteria; Bacillati; Bacillota; Clostridia
Also listed under: 2 other names
Description: tRNA-Leu
Rfam family: tRNA
About the family: Transfer RNA (tRNA) molecules are approximately 80 nucleotides in length. Their secondary structure includes four short double-helical elements and three loops (D, anti-codon, and T loops).
Source: RNAcentral
GCGGGUGUGGCGGAAUUGGCAGACGCACUAGCCUUAGGAGCUAGCGGAACUCCGUGCAGGUUCAAGUCCUGUCACCCGCACCA